This 1968-nucleotide long non-coding RNA is filed under the name Theobroma cacao (cacao). RNAcentral's name for it is "long non-coding RNA (TCAC_LNC005338)". Lineage: Eukaryota; Viridiplantae; Streptophyta; Magnoliopsida; Malvales; Malvaceae. The record is from RNAcentral.
CAAGGAAACAAGCUAGGUAAGUUAGAAUUUCUUUAAUUCUCCUUGAUAACUAGCUUACCCAUGCUUUUGUUCUUGAUUUCCAUGGUUGAAUAUUGAGUUAUCAUGAUGAAUUCAAUUCUGAAAAAUGGGUAUGGAAGAGGAAUCGUUGUUGGAAUAAUUUGAUUUUAGACUAUGUUAGUGUUUAGGGAUAGUUAAGCAUGGUUAUGAACAAAAACACAAAAGAAAUAUUCAAUUUCUCUAUGGUUCCUUGUUGGUCGAACCAUGAGGGCUGAAUAUCAAUGGGGCAUUGUUUUUAUUGCAAGGAAAAAGGCUUGAAAAAUGAUGAAUUAAGGUGAAACGGUUAUGUAGAAAAAAUUUCGGUGCUAGUGCACCAAAUGACCAAAUUUUUCUAUAAGGAACUGUGAGGGUUCUAAUGCUGAAUUUGGCUUUAUUUAAAUGGUAUGUGGUAAAUUAAGGUAUUAGAGGAGAAAUGGAUUAAUUUGGAGGUGAUUUGGACACAAUUGCCAAUUAAUCAGGUGAUCGGUCGAAUUUAAUCGAUACCGCAAUGAAGCGGUAAUCGGACGUAUUUUUGCAUUUACAUAUCAAGCAUUAGUAAUUUAAAUUAGUUUAUAUCAAUUUAUGGGCAAUAUAGUAAAUUCUUCGACUUUAUUAUUUGACAAGGUAGUGAGACGUCCGAAAAAGGCAAAGGAAUUAUGCCUGAGGACUAUUAGUUCGAGUGCACCUGGAAUCCGAAUUUUCGACACCUGUGAAUGAAUUUGCAUUUCAAAAUUUAUUUGGGAAUUCUAAUUAAGUUGAAAUGAAAUGCGUGAAUGAUUAUAUCUAAUUCCCAUUUAAAAAUGAAUCUCGGGAACAAGCCUUUAGUGAAAAUAUUUCUGUGAUGUUAAAUAUGAUUGCGAUGCAUCUGUGUAUAUCUGUAUGAUGCCUACAUGUAUUAUUGAGAAAUUGUGUGAAAUUAAGUGUACUGAAUCUGUGUACCCUUGUAUUAUGCUGAUAUGCAUUAUUAAUAAAUUAUGGUGAAAUUGAUGCGACCGUGCAUGUGCGGAGUGGGAAGUGCAAUGCCAGUUGAAUGACAAAGGAUGUGUUAAUUACGAUCGUGCAUGUGCGGAGUGGGAAAUGCAAUGCCGGUUUAAUGAUAAAGGUUGUGGGGAUGGCGAUACGUAACGCCCAUAAUUUCCUAGAAAUUCAGAGGUGUGCAAACAGGGAUACUGAGUGAUACCCCUUACCGAGUACUCCGAUUGUUAUUUCUUUGUACCACCAAGAAUAGUAAAGACUUGGCGGUGUAUAUAAUUGUUCAUAUCUUUGUGUAUAUAUGUUUGAUUGUGUGGUAUGUGAAACCCUUGUUUGUGACGGUUUGUGAUAAACCGUUAAUUUUGCUAUCUUGCUUGAUAGAACAAUUGGUGAAUGAAAUUGUACGUGAUACAUAUGCAUAUAUGAAUCGUACGGGUUAUGAAACCCUUAUUGUGUGACAAUUUGUAAAUAACCGUAAGUUUUACUACUUUGCUAGAAGGAUCGGUGUAAAUUCAAGGAUGUUUAAUCCUUGAAUGCGUAAUAAAUUUCUAGGUAAAGGAAAAAGGGUUUGGAAUAGUAGUUAGAUGAAAAUGGCUUUAUUUUCAACCGGUGCAUCAUGAUUGUCAAAUUUCCUGGUUGAGAUUGCUUGUUCCCUUCUAAUAUUCACUCACUGAGUAUUGUACUCACGUUUUAUAAAAAUUCAUAUUUUCAGAUCAAGUGACUGUUGGACCUUAGAUCGAGGAGUCCCCGUAGUGCAUCUCUUGGGUAUGUGUCUGGCAUUCGAUAGUAAUCCCUUUUAUUGUAAAUGUCUCACAGGAAGUCAUGGGUCCUUUUGUAUUGUGAAUACAAUCUAACAGUGUGAAUAUGUGUAUGCAAUGUAAAUUGCUAAAUACAUGACUGGUAUAGUGCAUGUAUAUUAUUAUCGAUAAUGCCAUUGUGUUUUGGCUAUGUUCACACUCG